Molecule: ribosomal RNA, 253 nt
Filed under: uncultured bacterium
Lineage: Bacteria
Description: partial 16S ribosomal RNA
Rfam family: Bacterial small subunit ribosomal RNA
Source: RNAcentral
UACGUAGGCAGCAAGCGUUGUUCGGACUUACUGGGCGUAAAGAGUGUGUAGGUGGUGUCGUAAGUUUGGUGUGAAAUCUCCCGGCUUAACUGGGAGGGUGCGCCGAAGACUGCGAUGCUGGAGUAUGGGAGAGGAAAGCGGAAUUCCUGGUGUAGCGGUGAAAUGCGCAGAUAUCAGGAGGAACACCAAUGGCGAAGGCGGGUCUCUGGGCCGAUAUUGACGCUGAGGAGCGAAAGCGUGGGGAGCGAACAGG